Molecule: unclassified non-coding RNA, 244 nt
Filed under: Hyphodiscus sp.
Lineage: Eukaryota; Fungi; Ascomycota; Leotiomycetes; Helotiales; Hyphodiscaceae
Also listed under: 1 other name
Description: partial contains 5.8S ribosomal RNA, internal transcribed spacer 2, and large subunit ribosomal RNA
Rfam family: 5.8S ribosomal RNA (bases 1-52)
Source: RNAcentral
AACGCACAUUGCGCCCCCUGGUAUUCCGGGGGGCAUGCCUGUUCGAGCGUCAUUACACCACUCAAGCCUCGCUUGGUAUUGGGCGCCGCGCUUCGGCGCGCGCCUCAAUGUAUCCGGCUGAGUCGACCGUCUCUAAGCGUUGUGGCACUUUAUGUUUCCGCUUGUGAGCUCGGGAGGUCUCGCGCCGUUAAACACCCCAUCAAAGGUUGACCUCGGAUCAGGUAGGGAUACCCGCUGAACUUAA